UCAGUUUAAGCUCCUACCAUGGUCAGUCAUAAAGCAUCAAAAUCUAGCUACAACAUAUGUUGAUGUUUGCAGCCAAACCAAGGUUAAAUUAUGAACAACUGAUAUUUAUAGCGAAGUUGGUGAUCAGAUCGGAUUCGAGGAUCAUCCUCUCUCAUGUGUUACGUAUUAGUGAUGCCUACAUGACGGUGGAAAAUGUACGAAUAUGCAGCGUUGACAGUAACAAGGAAAAAAUGAUGUUUCAUUUUGUCUGUUUGGCUCUGAGAUAUAUUAAAAUUGGACAUAUCCAGUGAGGCGGCUUGAUGGAUCAUUGGCCUCAUGGCAAAAUUGGGGACGGAGGAGGGAGGAGGCUUCAUAUAAGCAUGACUUCAAAAGCUCAGGGAGAUCAAACCGAAGAAAGACAACACUCAGCGCAACAUGCUCGUGUCGAUGAUAUGGGUGCAGAGGAAGACUGUGAGGAUGAUCAGUGAGAGCAGAUUUGCUAGAAUAUCACUUUGCAAAACCCAUGAUCCAAUCCAUGUUUUGUCCUUACAAAUAGAUAAAUGCAUGAAGGGAUAACUGCUGCAGAUGCUUACUUGUUGUCAACAUUAGAUGGUGAUUUGGUUGUAUUUGCUAAGAUCUUGCCGUCGUGAGAUCAAUUAAUCAAUGUAUGCACCUUUGCAUAUGGGUGAACUUGAAUAGAGAAAACCUUCACUAUGGAACUUGUGGCUUGGUGACUGUCAGGAGUGAGCAUUUGGUGACUGGGUAAAGUAGUAAAAGCCACAUGUGGUUGGUUGACCUUGCUGGAAGUGAGCACUUCGCUAAAACUGAAGUAGGAGAGACGUCGA
This is a long non-coding RNA of Triticum aestivum (bread wheat), 824 nucleotides long. RefSeq lists it as uncharacterized. The record is from RefSeq and is a predicted model, not a curated record. NCBI's taxonomy places the organism in Eukaryota, Viridiplantae, Streptophyta, Magnoliopsida, Poales, Poaceae. The transcript has 6 exons.